RNAcentral lists this long non-coding RNA (218 nucleotides) under Homo sapiens (human). RNAcentral's name for it is "HSALNT0096402". The record is from RNAcentral. Lineage: Eukaryota; Metazoa; Chordata; Mammalia; Primates; Hominidae.
AAAAUCCAAGCAAAUUUCCUGGACUUUAAACUCCAUGACAGCAGUAGGUCAGCAUCGUCUUACUUUACCUACCCACAGUAACAUCAACUGAUUGACAGUGUUUGAAUGUAUUACUACCUUAAAUACAGGGGGAGUGACAGCCUAUGUGUUAACACAUCACAGACUCUUCAAAGACUAAAGACUUGAUCCAUCUUCCUCCAAAUAUCUCCUACCUGCCA